RNAcentral lists this ribosomal RNA (411 nucleotides) under uncultured bacterium. RNAcentral describes it as "bacterial SSU rRNA". It matches the Rfam family "Bacterial small subunit ribosomal RNA", at positions 64 to 507 of the family's 1533-position model. The record is from RNAcentral.
GAACGAGAAAGUGGAGCAAUCCAUGAGUAAAGUGGCGACCGGGUGAGUAACACGUGACUAACCUACCUCCGAGUGGGGAAUAACUCCGGGAAACCGGGGCUAAUACCGCAUAACAUCGCAAGAUCAAAGCAGCAAUGCGCUUGGAGAGGGGGUCGCGGCUGAUUAGCUAGUUGGCGGGGUAACGGCCCACCAAGGCAAAGAUCGGUAUCCGGCCUGAGAGGGCGCACGGACACACUGGAACUGAAACACGGUCCAGACUCCUACGGGAGGCAGCAGUGGGGAAUUUUGCGCAAUGGGGGAAACCCUGACGCAGCAACGCCGCGUGGAGGAUGAAGCCCUUUGGGGCGUAAACUCCUUUCGACUCGGACGAUAAUGACGGUACGAGUGGAAGAAGCACCGGCUAACUCUGUG